This 726-nucleotide ribosomal RNA is filed under the name uncultured bacterium. RNAcentral describes it as "bacterial SSU rRNA". It matches the Rfam family "Bacterial small subunit ribosomal RNA", at positions 51 to 812 of the family's 1533-position model. The record is from RNAcentral.
ACACAUGCAGUCGUACGAGAGUUUUUAACUCUAGUGGCGGACGGGUGAGUAACACGUGAGAAUUUACCUUUAGGAGGGGGACAACAGUUGGAAACGAAUGCUAAUACCCCAUAUGCUUUCGAGUGAAAUGGAUUUAUAUUUAUCCGCCUAGAGAGAAGCUCGCGGCUGAUUAGCUUGUUGGUAAGGUAAGAGCUUACCAAGGCGACGAUCAGUAUCUGGUUUGAGAGGACGAUCAGACACACUGGAACUGAGACACGGUCCAGACUCCUACGGGAGGCAGCAGUGGGGAAUUUUCCGCAAUGGGCGAAAGCCUGACGGAGCAAUACCGCGUGAGGGAAGACUGCCUAUGGGUUGUAAACCUCUUUUUUCAGGGAGGAAUAAAUGACGUGUACCUGAAGAAUAAGCAUCGGCCAACUCCGUGCCAGCAGCCGCGGUAAGACGGAGGAUGCAAGUGUUAUCCGGAAUCACUGGGCGUAAAGCGUCUGUAGGUGGUUUAAUAAGUCAACUGUUAAAUCUUGAGGCUCAACUUCAAAAUCGCAGUCGAAACUAUUAGACUAGAGUAUAGUAGAGGUAAAGGGAAUUUCCAGUGGAGCGGUGAAAUGCGUAGAUAUUGGAAAGAACACCGAUGGCGAAAGCACUUUACUGGGCUAUUACUAACACUCAGAGACGAAAGCUAGGGUAGCAAAUGGGAUUAGAUACCCCAGUAGUCCUAGCCGUAAACUAUGG